GUGAGGGGAGUGAAAUAGAUCCUGAAACCGCAUGCAUACAAGCAGUGGGAGCCGACUUGUUCGGUGACUGCGUACCUUUUGUAUAAUGGGUCAGCGACUUACAUUCAGUAGCAAGGUUAACCGCAUAGGGGAGCCGUAGAGAAAUCGAGUCUUAAUAGGGCGAAUAGUUGCUGGGUGUAGACCCGAAACCAGGCGAUCUAUCCAUGAGCAGGUUGAAGGUUGGGUAACACUAACUGGAGGACCGAACCCACUGUCGUUGAAAAGCCAGGGGAUGACUUGUGGAUAGGGGUGAAAGGCUAAUCAAGCCUGGUGAUAGCUGGUUCUCCCCGAAAGCUAUUUAGGUAGCGCCUCGGACGAAUACCAUAGGGGGUAGAGCACUGUUUCGGCUAGGGGGUCAUCCCGACUUACCAAACCGAUGCAAACUCCGAAUACCUAUGAGUACUAUCCGGGAGACAGACUGCGGGUGCUAACGUCCGUAGUCAAGAGGAAAACAAUCCAGACCGCCAGCUAAGGCCCCAAAAUCAUAGUUAAGUGGGAAACGAUGUGGGAAGGCAUAGACAGCUAGGAGGUUGGCUUAGAAGCAGCCACCCUUUAAAGAAAGCGUAAUAGCUCACUAGUCGAGUCGGCCUGCGCGGAAGAUGUAACGGGGCUAAAACUAUGUGCCGAAGCUGCGGAUGUAACUUUAGAGUUACGUGGUAGGGGAGCGUUCUGUAAGCCGAUGAAGGUGUAUUGAGAAGUAUGCUGGAGGUAUCAGAAGUGCGAAUGCUGACGUGAGUAACGACAAAACGGGUGAAAAACCCGUUCGCCGAAAGACCAAGGGUUCCAGUCCAACGUUAAUCGGGGCUGGGUGAGUCGACCCCUAA
This 863-nucleotide ribosomal RNA is filed under the name Salmonella enterica subsp. enterica serovar Alachua. RNAcentral's name for it is "partial 23S ribosomal RNA". It matches the Rfam family "Bacterial large subunit ribosomal RNA", at positions 529 to 1394 of the family's 2925-position model. Lineage: Bacteria; Pseudomonadati; Pseudomonadota; Gammaproteobacteria; Enterobacterales; Enterobacteriaceae. The record is from RNAcentral.